Molecule: ribosomal RNA, 371 nt
Filed under: uncultured organism
Description: bacterial SSU rRNA
Rfam family: Bacterial small subunit ribosomal RNA
Source: RNAcentral
CGUAGGUGGCAAGCGUUGUCCGGAAUUAUUGGGCGUAAAGGGCGCGUAGGCGGUCCCUUAAGUCAGAUGUGAAAUCCCGAGGCUUAACCUCGGGCGUGCAUUGAAACUGGGGGACUAGAGUGCAGGAGAGGUAAGUGGAAUUCCUAGUGUAGCGGUGAAAUGCGUAGAUAUUAGGAGGAACACCAGUGGCGAAGGCGACUUACUGGACUGUAACUGACGCUGAGGCGCGAAAGCGUGGGGAGCAAACAGGAUUAGAUACCCUGGUAGUCCACGCUGUAAACGAUGGAUACUAGGUGUGGGAGGUAUCGACCCCUUCCGUGCCGCAGUAAACGCAAUAAGUAUCCCGCCUGGGGAGUACGGCCGCAAGGCUA